GACGAACGCUGGCGGCGUGCUUAACACAUGCAAGUCGAACGGUGAAGCGCCUUCCUUUUUGGUGGGUGUGGAUGAGUGGCGAACGGGUGAGUAACACGUGAGUAACCUGCCCCCUUCUUCUGGAUAACCGCAUGAAAGUGUGGCUAAUACGGGAUAUUCUGGGUCUGUCGCAUGAUGGGUCUGGGAAAGAUAUUGUUUCGGUGGGGGAUGGGCUCGCGGCCUAUCAGCUUGUUGGUGGGGUGAUGGCCUACCAAGGCGGUGACGGGUAGCCGGCCUGAGAGGGUGGACGGUCACACUGGGACUGAGACACGGCCCAGACUACGACGGGAGGCAGCAGUGGGGAAUAUUGCACAAUGGGCGCAAGCCUGAUGCAGCGACGCCGCGUGAGGGAUGGAGGCCUUCGGGUUGUGAACCUCUUUCGCCAGUGAAGCAGGCCUGCCUCGUUUGUGGGUGGGUUGACGGUAGCUGGAGAAGAAGCGCCGGCUAACUACGUG
Molecule: ribosomal RNA, 494 nt
Filed under: uncultured bacterium
Lineage: Bacteria
Description: partial 16S ribosomal RNA
Rfam family: Bacterial small subunit ribosomal RNA
Source: RNAcentral